UUCCUACUUCCUACAUGUUGUGAACGCAUCUCCAGUAACAGCUGUGUUGCCAAGACAACAGUAAACUUAUGCCUGACAUGGCGGAGUUACUGAAAUUAAGAAGUGAAGUUGAAGACUUCCAAAAGGAACAUUUCUACAGAAACAGUCUCGCUGAAGAGAACAGAGAGGGGGACAACCAGGCCGCUACCCAGAUUCAGAGCUGGUUCAGAGCCUGCAAGGUGCGGGCUUACCUCAGCCAUCUGCACAAGAAGGCAGUCAUUAUACAGAAGAUAUGGCGGGGCUUCACAGCAAGGGCGCGUUUCAGACAAAUGGUGAAGGCGGCAUAUUUUAUCAUGAAGAUGAAUUUCUACGAGGAGAUGGCGGUCAGGAUUCAGCGAAGAUGGAGAGGAUUCUUUGUGAGGAAGUAUAUCCAUAACUUUUACGCACGCAAGAGCUAUCUGCAAGGACUCUCCAUGAAAAACAAACUAGUCAGGAGAGAGCUGGAUGAACUUGAGGAACUCCAGAAGAGAGAGCGAUACUGUCAGGAGAUGGUAAAAGAGCAGACAGCCAAGGUCUACCAAGCUCACCGGUUACACCACCUCCUCAGUACAAAGCAGUGCCCAGGGGUCUUCAACUCUCCAUUCAGGCCGGCCCCCCAUGAGAUGGAGCUACUGCUGAGGCAGGUCAAGUACCAGGCCCCUACCAAGCUGGCCUCCAGGGAAAGGGCUUGUCUCUUGGGCACGCCAGCCUCAACAGCCCCGAGUUUUCCUGGGACUCUUGGAUCCCCGUGGAUCAAAACUAGAACCCCCUGCUGCCCCAGACCCAUACUGCCCCCCAUUGCUAACAAGAGACAGCAGGGCCUGUUCAGAGAGCCAGGGGAAGUGUGGGAGCAGCGAUUGCGUUUUCCUGAGCUGUCUUUGCAUCUGCAGACCUCUUACACACACCUGGAGGAGGCGCAGAAUGAGCUACAACAACAGGAGUCUGUAAGACUCCACAGUGGCACACCAGGAACAGGAAGGAUGCUCCACCAUUUCUGUCACAGCAGCAAUUCCUUUACUCAGCCAGCCUUUGCCAAGAGCUUCAGAUAGUUAUUGUACAGUUAUGAUGUAAACCCAUUCAAGCUGUGUCAGACCUGCGUUAAACCCAAGUCUGGAGCUGGAUCAUGAAGCCAGCCGUUCAAGACAAUGCUCACCACCUGCAACGACUUUGAUAAGUUUGCUCGUCUGUACUCCAAGCCAGGCAACAUUGUGCAAAACACCUUCCUGGCCUGAGCAAAUGAAGAGAAGUACAAAUAAAGAAAGAUUGCUUUAAA
RNA transcript from Thunnus maccoyii (southern bluefin tuna), 1291 nucleotides. It is a transcript of the gene named spermatogenesis associated 17, with no coding region annotated. The transcript is spliced from 11 exons. Lineage: Eukaryota; Metazoa; Chordata; Actinopteri; Scombriformes; Scombridae. The record is from RefSeq and is a predicted model, not a curated record.